This 465-nucleotide ribosomal RNA is filed under the name uncultured bacterium. RNAcentral's name for it is "partial 16S ribosomal RNA". It matches the Rfam family "Bacterial small subunit ribosomal RNA", at positions 338 to 795 of the family's 1533-position model. The record is from RNAcentral.
CCUACGGGUGGCAGCAGUGGGGAAUAUUGCGCAAUGGGCGAAAGCCUGACGCAGCGACGCCGCGUGAGGGAUGAAGGUCUUCGGAUCGUAAACCUCUGUCAGCAGGGAAGAACGGUCACUGUGCUAAUCAGCAGUGAAUUGACGGUACCUGCAAAGGAAGCACCGGCUAACUCCGUGCCAGCAGCCGCGGUAAUACGGAGGGUGCGAGCGUUAAUCGGAAUUACUGGGCGUAAAGCGCUCGUAGGCGGUAUGUCAAGUCAAGGGUGAAAGCCCCGCGCUCAACGUGGGAACUGCCUUUGAAACGGGCAAACUGGAGUGUGUGAGAGGAUAGUGGAAUUCCAGGGGUAGGAGUGAAAUCCGUAGAUAUCUGGAGGAACAUCAGUGGCGAAGGCGACUAUCUGGCACAUAACUGACGCUGAGGAGCGAAAGCGUGGGUAGCAAACAGGAUUAGAUACCCGAGUAGUC